UCAAUGUUCUCAGAAAUACAUAUUCGUGAUCGAUGAGAAUACAUUUGUUGAAGUCGAGAUCAUUCGCUUUAUUUUUAUCCGUCAAAGUUCGAAUAAAAAUUUAGGGUGAACGUUUCAUUUGAGAUCUAUCUGACUCUUUAUCUCUUCUCCUUUUCUUUCUUUCUUUUUUUCUUUUUUCACUUUUCAAGUGAAAAAAAAAAAUGAAAAAUAAUUUAUAAUUUGUGAUCACAUUGGUAAACAAGUAUCCUCUAUGUGAUAGCGAACGUAACAGUAAAGAUGAUAUAUGGUCUGCUACGAAACAUCGAAAUACAUAAACAGUGAUGUCUGAAGACGAUUAUAAGCGAAUGGCAACAGACCGUUAUCUUGAACAUGUACAUUGAUAAACUUGAAAUCGAAGUCCUACAACACAUAUCUAAGGAAUUCUUCGCACUAGAAGGUAUAAUAGAACUUGUAAAACUAUCCAGGUUCUUUGUAUAAAAGUAUAAUAAUUUCAAAGAGUUAAACUACUUUUACGAUUUGUUGACACAAGAAGGGGGAAAGGGUAAUCGUUUUUUAUCGAUCGAUGGGCUGAGUUAUGGCAGGCGAAAGGAUGGUUACGCAGUUGCACUUGGAAGACAAUGCGACGAUAAGAACGCUUUCAGAGGCAAAUGCAACGACCGGAUGCAAGUUUGCGAAACUUGCCUGGGCAAUUAACAAGGCUACUUUAUAUCUUUAAUACUUCAUUUUACCGUACAUGUUCAUUAAAAAAAAAAAAAAAAAGGAGAAAGAAAGGGAGAAAAAAAUUCCACGGAAUAAGAAAUAAGAGAUAAAACGUAUUUAUAAUUAUUUAUUCAGAUUAAUAUGUACCAACCCAAAUGAAAUUGGAUCCACAUGUGUUCAGCAUUGAAGCGACUAUUUUUAUCUAAGGUAUUAAAGAAUAUGUGUAUGCAUAUAUAUAUAUAUAUAUAUAUAUAUACAUGUAAAUGUAUUAAUCAAGCGUGCGUGAGUAUCGUUUAUAGAAGAUUUCAAUUAACUACAUCGUCGUCAUCGUCGAGCUGACAAAAGCGAAAACAAGGGACUAAUUGCGAGCGAUAGAAGGGGACCGGAAACUGAAACUAUUACGACCGGUUUUCGAGCCAGUCGAUUAUCCCUAGUAUAUGCUUAUGCUAGUUAUAACUCUAAUGAUGAAAACAUCUGCUGAUACACGUGAAACUUCAAUCUUCUUUAACCAUCGAAAAUAUCAAUGAAUGACGAGAACGCUCGAAUAAAAAGGAUUGUUUAUAUUAAAUGAAGAAAAAAAAAACAAAGAAACAAAGAAACAAAACAAAACAAAAAAAGAAAAUAUUUUAUUAUGCAAACUAUCGCAUUUAACACCGUUCCAAAUACAAAAUGAACACCUUGUAUUAUUUCUUAUGUACGGUUGAGUAACCGCACGGUAGAGACAACAUACGCAUAUAUACAUACAUAUUUACGUGGGUACGUCUCGGGCAUUGGGAGACUCCUAUCAUAAAACGGCCGAGUGAAAGGAUAAGCCGCGAGUUCAUCUCGAGUCUCAACAAACCAAUCUUCUCGAGCAUUCAGACGUGCCAUCGAAGAGUCAUUUAAACGAUUGGAAUGCGCGCGCGAAUGAGAUUGAUUUUUUUGU
Molecule: unclassified non-coding RNA, 1624 nt
Organism: Vespa mandarinia (Asian giant hornet)
Lineage: Eukaryota; Metazoa; Arthropoda; Insecta; Hymenoptera; Vespidae
Source: RefSeq, a predicted model, not a curated record